GACGAACGCUGGCGGCGGGCUUAACACAUGCAAGUCGAACGGAAAGGCCCUGCUUUUGUGGGGUUCUCGAGUGGCGAACGGGUGAGUAACACGUGAGUAACCUGCCCUUGACUGUGGGAUAACUUCUGGAAACUGCGGCUAAUACCGGAUAGGAGCUCCUGCUGCACGGUGGGGGUUGGAAAGUUUCGGCGGUUGGGGAUGGACGCGCGGCUUAUCAGCUUGUUGGUGGGGUAGUGGCUUACCAAGGCUUUGACGGGUAGCCGGCAUGAGAGGGUGACCGGCCACAUUGGGCCUGAGAUAGGGAGCAGAGGGCUACGGGAGGCAGCAGGGGGAAAUAUUGCACAGCGGGCGGAAGCGUGUUGCAGCAGCGCCGCGUGCGGGAUGACGGCCUUCGGGUUGUAAACCGCUUUCGCCUGUGACGAAGCGUGAGUGACGGUAAUGGGUAAAGAAGCACCGGCUAACUACGUG
RNAcentral lists this ribosomal RNA (468 nucleotides) under uncultured bacterium. RNAcentral describes it as "partial 16S ribosomal RNA". It matches the Rfam family "Bacterial small subunit ribosomal RNA", at positions 28 to 507 of the family's 1533-position model. The record is from RNAcentral.